This 255-nucleotide ribosomal RNA is filed under the name uncultured bacterium. RNAcentral describes it as "partial 16S ribosomal RNA". It matches the Rfam family "Bacterial small subunit ribosomal RNA", at positions 524 to 777 of the family's 1533-position model. The record is from RNAcentral.
UACGAAGGGGGCUAGCGUUGUUCGGAAUCACUGGGCGUAAAGGGCGCGUAGGCGGCUAGAUAAGUCGGGGGUGAAAGCCUGUGGCUCAACCACAGAAUUGCCUUCGAUACUGUCUGGCUUGAGACCGGAAGAGGUUAGUGGAACUGCGAGUGUAGAGGUGAAAUUCGUAGAUAUUCGCAAGAACACCAGUGGCGAAGGCGGCUGACUGGUCCGGUUCUGGACGCUGAGGCGCGAAAGCGUGGGGAGCAAACAGGG